This 236-nucleotide unclassified non-coding RNA is filed under the name plant metagenome. Its description in RNAcentral is "partial contains small subunit ribosomal RNA, internal transcribed spacer 1, and 5.8S ribosomal RNA". The record is from RNAcentral.
UUUCCGUAGGUGAACCUGCGGAAGGAUCAUUAGUGAAUAUUAGGACGUCUACUUCGUUAGGGCCUGACCUCCACUUUCUAACUCUGUGCACUUAUUGGGCGGAAAAGGGAAUUAGUAAUCUGUCUCAUGACGAUUGCGACUUCUUACUUUCUGCGGCUUACUUUAAACACUAGUCAAAGUAUGUAACGAAAUAUCAAAACAAAUAAAAACUUUCAACAACGGAUCUCUUGGCUCUG